CGCUGCCAGUAUUGAGAAAGGCUUAAAAAAGUCACGGUAAAAAACUGUAGAUUCAAUAUGGGAGUGGAGGCAGACUUGACUAAGCACUGUUGAAAGGCCAAGAGUUGAAGAACUUGGAGUUAAAAGAGGGCAAUUCAUUAUUAUCACCAAUUGGCAUAAAAGUUUUAUGAUGCCUUUACAAUUGAUCCUUCAAUGUCACACAGGAGUCAGGAGAUGACCAAUAAUCAGUGAAACCAAAAGAGGACAUGGACCCGUGUAUUCUGGGUUGCCGCAAAGACUUCUGCAUCCGCAGUGCAGUGCAGUACGUGCGUGCGUGCGUGUGUGUGUGUGUGUGUGUGUGUGUGUGUGUAUGGUCGACGUCACUUCGCUACAGUCUGCGGAGAAGCCUGAGAGCAAGCGAGCAGUGGCUUACUUCCUCGAUCGACGGAAUCACAGACGAGAAACUGAAGGGAAGACAAGAACAAGAAAACUCACGAAACAAGAAAUAAUCCACACGUUUGCAAGACGAGGUGGCCCAGUGACACAUCACCAUGGCGCCCUUCUUGCGGAUCGCCUUCAACUCCUACGACCUGGGUGUGCUGUCUCCGCUGACCCCUUCUGAUCCCCCCUUUUGUGCCAUUAAGAUGAAGGAGGCCCUCACCACCGAGCGUGGUAAGACCCUGGUUCAGAGGAAGCCCACCAUGUUCCCAGCCUGGAAGGCCAGCUUCGAUGCCCACAUCUACGAGGGGCGUGUCCUGCAGGUGCUGCUGAUGAAGACUGCCGAGGAGCCAUUGGCCGAGGUCACAGUUGGCGUGUCCGUCCUUGCCGAGCGCUGCAAAAAGGGCAACGGCCGUGCUGAAUUUUGGGUGGACCUGCAGCCCUCAGGGAAGGUGAUGAUGGCAGUGCAGUUCUUCUUGGAGGGAGCAACUGAUACAGAGGGCAAGCUGCCCACGAAGGAGGAGGAAGGGGGGCCCACCAUAAACCGCAGGCGAGGAGCCAUCAAACAGGCCAAGAUCCACGAGGUCAAAUGUCACGAGUUCAUCGCCACCUUCUUCAGACAGCCCACCUUCUGCUCCGUCUGCAGAGAGUUUGUCUGGGGCCUCAACAAGCAAGGCUACAAGUGCAGACAAUGCAAUGCAGCCAUCCAUAAGAAAUGCAUCGACAAGAUCAUUGGCAGGUGUACGGGCACGGCCGCCAACAGCCGGGACACUGUGUUCCAGAAGGAGCGUUUUAAGAUUGACAUGCCACACCGCUUCAAGAACCACAACUACAUGAGUCCCACCUUCUGUGACCACUGUGGCAGUCUGCUGUGGGGCCUGGUCAAACAGGGCCUCAAGUGUGAAGAUUGUGCCAUGAAUGUGCAUCAUAAGUGUCAGGAUAAAGUGGCCAACCUUUGUGGAAUCAACCAGAAACUACUAGCUGAAGCACUUACUCAAGUCAGCCAGAAAUCCUCCUCUCGGCGCUCAGACCCAACCCUACCUGACCCAGAUAUAGGGGUCUAUGAGGAAGUCAUUAGGAACUCCAUUGGUGGUCUGGAUGAUGGCCCCUCCUAUGCCAGGCUGUGGGAGGGCUCAAGCCCUCACCCCCCAUCUCGCCUCACCCACCUGACACGCAUCAACGUAGACAACUUUGUCUUUCACAAGGUCCUGGGCAAGGGCAGCUUUGGCAAGGUCCUGCUGGCAGAGUUGAAAGGUCAGGGGGAGUGGUUUGCGGUGAAGGCUCUGAAGAAAGACGUAGUGCUAAUGGAUGAUGAUGUGGAGUGUACCAUGGUGGAGAAGAGAGUCCUGGCCCUGGCUUGGGACAACCCUUUCCUCACACACCUCUACUCCACCUUCCAGUCCAAGGAACACUUGUUCUUUGUCAUGGAGUAUCUGAAUGGAGGAGACCUAAUGUUCCAUAUUCAGGAGAAGGGACGCUUUGACCUCUACAGAGCAACGUUCUACUCUGCUGAGAUCAUCUGUGGCCUUCAGUUUCUGCACUCCAAAGGGAUCAUUUACAGAGACCUGAAGUUGGACAAUGUGAUGUUGGAUCAUAGUGGUCACGUAAAGAUAGCAGACUUUGGCAUGUGUAAGGAGAACGUGUUUGGGGAGAACCAGGCUACAACCUUCUGUGGGACUCCUGACUACAUCGCUCCAGAGAUCCUGCUGGGUCAGAAGUACUCCUUCUCUGUGGACUGGUGGUCGUUUGGAGUGCUGCUGUACGAGAUGCUGAUUGGCCAGUCCCCCUUCCAUGGUGAUGAUGAGGACGAGCUGUUUGAGUCUAUCCGUACAGACACGCCCCACUACCCUCGCUGGAUCACCAAGGAGGCCAAGGACCUGAUGGAGAGGCUGUUUGAGAGAGACUCCACUCGCAGGCUAGGCAUCGUGGGUAACAUCCGUGUUCACCCCUUCUUCAAAACCAUCAGCUGGCCCGCCCUCGAGAAAAGGGAGGUGGAACCCCCCUUCAGACCCAAAGUGAAAGCCCCAAAUGACUGCAGCAACUUUGACAGGGAGUUCCUCAGUGAGAAGCCCCGCCUCUCCCAUGGUGACAAGAACUUCAUGGAUUCCAUGGACCAAUCAGCUUUCGCCGGCUUCUCCUUCAUCAACCCAGAGAUGGAGCACCUCUUGGAAAAGUGACGGAGGGGCCUCUCAGCCAAUCCCCAUGCUCUUAGUCCUCAAUGACAUCACUGGGGUCAUAGGGGAAAGGUGAAGCCAGGAUUACAUUACUACUGUUUUAGGGUCACUUUGUCAAGGUGUCCUCAUUCAUGUGAUCAAACCUUCAACUUGAGUGAGCUGUUCUACGUUCAGUAUUUGUGACUGUAAUAGAAACACAAGUUUCCUCUUCGGGUUCUUACUUAGUGAAACUAUAAGAGUUAAACUUAUACAGGAAUUGGCCUCUGUUGUAUAGAUAGGGAAUGUAAAUGCAGGGGGUUUGUGUGAAUGAGCUGUUUGCAUGCAUAAAGACCUCAUACCAACACCAACCACCUCUCAAUCUCAACAACCUCUGAAUGUGUGUCACGUACUCUUGAAAGAUUAACUGAAUCGAAGUUCAGUUUGUCACUGCAUGGGGAGCCCUUGCAUCUACUAGCCAAGUACGAGGGAGUUGUGGUCAUUUGGACUGUUUGCCAUAACAAGACCAAGUUCAGACUGAGCAACUACAGAUAUCCCUGCCAUUCCAUGUAGCGUCAUCUGGGACAGGGACAGAUUUGGUGUAAGUGAAUAAGUGCUUAUUGUGUAUGAUGCUAUAUGAAUGUCUUUAUUUGAGUGGUACUUAGCGAGAUUCUGUAUAUAGAUCUAUAUGUAUAUUGUUGUUGCGUAUAUUAUUGGUGCGCUAAGGAUUAGCUUUUUUUACUGUCUCCAUUUUACAUCUUAAUAAAAAAUCAUCAACUCCCAGUGUCUUUAGUCACUCACUUCACUCUGUGAUGAAUAUACAAAACACAGUGAUGUUUUAGAAACCACUCUCAGUGAACUCAUCAAGAAAUUGCCUAUUAGCAAGAUUAACCAAUCAAAUAUCUUUGCUUUCUGCAAAUUGUGAACUUUUUUUAUUGAAUGUUUAUUUGUAUGUGAUGUUGACUAAAUUAAAUUCCCAUGAGAAUUUACCUUAA
Molecule: RNA transcript, 3562 nt
Organism: Salvelinus fontinalis (brook trout)
Lineage: Eukaryota; Metazoa; Chordata; Actinopteri; Salmoniformes; Salmonidae
Gene: prkcda
Gene name: protein kinase C, delta a
Exons: 19
Source: RefSeq, a predicted model, not a curated record